RNAcentral lists this transfer RNA (64 nucleotides) under Cleroidea sp. 4 KM-2017. RNAcentral's name for it is "tRNA-Cys". The record is from RNAcentral. Lineage: Eukaryota; Metazoa; Arthropoda; Insecta; Coleoptera.
GUCCAAGUAUUCAAUUAAUGAUUUUAAAUUGCAAAUUUGAAGGUAAGAAAAAUCUUCUUGGGCU